UCAACCAGGUAGCAUCAUUAACAGCGUCAAACAUCACACUAGAGCCCUCGACUACCAGUGUAAUGUGACGGUCAAAUGUAUCAAAAGCGUAAGACGCUUUUUAAGGGCAAAUAAUCAAAACUUUCACCAAGUCGCCCUCAUUGUAUUCCACAUCCGAUAACACGAGCUAGUGCCCUACAAGACUCGUCACUAGGACAUWAAAGCCCAAGUGACCAGAUUGCAAGGGACUGCUGAAUUGUCCAUCUUAAAACCCAAAAGGAUCAAACGUUAGACACGCAACAAUACGGAUUCAAGUUCCAUCUCGCUUGGUAAGAAACACAGGGACCACGAAGCCCAGGUCAUAAAUGUACCUAUGGCUUUACUGAAAAAUCACACAUCAACGAUUCCCAGCACUAGCAAGGAGCUCAU
Molecule: unclassified non-coding RNA, 408 nt
Filed under: Osyris alba
Lineage: Eukaryota; Viridiplantae; Streptophyta; Magnoliopsida; Santalales; Santalaceae
Description: partial external transcribed spacer
Source: RNAcentral